Molecule: RNase P RNA, 368 nt
Filed under: Actinomycetota bacterium
Lineage: Bacteria; Bacillati; Actinomycetota
Description: RNase P RNA component class A
Rfam family: Bacterial RNase P class A
About the family: Ribonuclease P (RNase P) is a ubiquitous endoribonuclease, found in archaea, bacteria and eukarya as well as chloroplasts and mitochondria. Its best characterised activity is the generation of mature 5'-ends of tRNAs by cleaving the 5'-leader elements of precursor-tRNAs. Cellular RNase Ps are ribonucleoproteins.
Source: RNAcentral
UGAGUCGUCCGGGUGACCGCGGCCAUCGGUGGAGACACCGGUGCGCUGAGGAAGGUCGGGACUCCACAGGGUACGGAGCUGGCGAGAGCCAGGUUGGGGCGACCUGACGGACGUGCAACAGAGAGCAAACCGCCGAUGGGCAACCGGUUCGCCGGGCGCCACAGGCAAGGGUGAAACGGUGCGGUAAGAGCGCACCAGCGUCCGGGGUGACCCGGGCGGCUGGUAAACCCCUCCGGGAGCAAGGUCGAGCAGAGGGACGGGCGACCCGUCCGCCGUGGCAACACGGCACCCUCGGGUAGGCCGCAGAGAUGGAUGGUCACCCCCGGGUUCGCCCGGGACAGAAUCCCGCCUACAGGUCGACUCACCGU